Molecule: unclassified non-coding RNA, 1950 nt
Organism: Pogonomyrmex barbatus (red harvester ant)
Lineage: Eukaryota; Metazoa; Arthropoda; Insecta; Hymenoptera; Formicidae
Source: RefSeq, a predicted model, not a curated record
GCGAGAUCUGACUCCCGAUUCAUAACUUCCGACAACCUCCAUUUUCUUUGUCGCUUUCGUCGCACGAGCAUUUCUACUAUACAAGCUACUUUUGUAACUGUGCAUUCAUCGAAAUUUAAAUAUGGAUGCUCCAGGAGGUAGAGGUGGAUUUCGAGGCCGUGGAGGUCCUGGUGGAUUAAUGAGAGGACGUGGUGGAUUUGGAGAGAGAGGAAGAGGUGGUCCUCUACGAGGUGGUAACAUGAUGCGUGGUGGACGAGGAAGUGGACCUGGUGGUGGCAUGAGAGGAGGUCCACCUAUGAGAGGUAGAGGUGGUCCUCCAGGUAGAGGUGGACGAGGAGGACAUGGUGGACAUUUUCCUCCAGGACCUGAACCAGGAAUGUCCAGUGGACCUGGAGGUGGACCGCCUCCUUUAGGAAUGGGUGGUCCUCCACGAGGUGGCAGUGGAAGAGGAAGUGGAAGCAACAGCUUCCGCAGCAGAGGCAGAGGUGAUUACAACAGAGGAGAUAGUCGUGGAGGUAGCAACAAUUUCCGAGGUCGUGGCAUGGAUAGAGGCAGGGGAGGAUCCAGAGGGGGUUCUGGUAGAGGUGGACCAAGCCGUGGAGGUGGCUUUUCCGAUCGUGGUGGCAGAGGAGCUGGUAGUGGACGUGGUGGUCCAACGAAACGAGGAGGUGGACCACCUAGCUCUAGUGGACCGUCUAAAAGGCCGCGCUUUGAUCAGCCGUCUUCUCAACCAUCCAAUGGCUAUGCCACUCAACCCCCUAAGUACAGCCAAGGCGGUUACGGUUCAAAUAAUGCUUAUGGGGGUCAGCAACAACCACCGCAACAGUCGGUAGGAUACGGUGGUUAUGGUUCGCAGCAAAAUUAUACGCAGUCCUACCAGGGUUAUGAGAGCUACCAGCAACCUCAGGACUAUGCACAAACGGGUUAUCCACCAUCCGCGUCAGAUAGCAGAUACGGGGGAGCAUCAUCGGUUCCAGCUGCGGGAGGAUUUGGUGCUAACGAUCCAUACAGUUAUGGCAAAGCUCCGCCAUCAGCCAAUUACCAGCAGGAGGCAGUGCCAGCCGCGGGACCGGGGGGCGGGGGCGGUUAUGCCCCUGUUAACCCAUAUGAUGACCGAUCUAAUGCCAACAUAAUCAACCGAGGUGGUUACUCGACGCAACCUUACGAUUAUCCGAAUCAGGAUGGCGUUUAUGGAAAACAGGACUAUGGGUGAUCACGAUCAACAACAAGCGGCAACAAGUAGCCGUCCAAUGUGACGCGAAUCAUCGAACGGGAUCAUCGUCGUGCGUGAAAUUGUCGAUGACCAUCGAAUUGCCGCACUGGACUGGUGUUGCGACUACAAGGACCCGAAAAAACAACGCGUACCUGAUGAAACAUGAAGACGAGAGCCGCAUUUGACAAGUUGUUUGUAUUCGCGUAAGCAACAUCGUUCAGUUUUUCUUCUGGAUGGCUCCCGACUAUUCGCCUGGCUAUAUAAUCGUCCUUACGAUCCCCGGUUUAUUGUCUCGAAGACUACUUGAUAUUUUGGGAUCUUGGGCAAGCGAGGGGCCCCGUUCAUUUCUUUCUGCGAAGAAAGAUAUAUGUGCGGAUUUAAUUUUUAAUUUUCUUAUAUAUCAAUAACGUCUCACUUCUAUCUGUUAAUUUUAUGAGUGAAAUAAUGCGAUUUUAAAAAGUAAGUGCAUCUACAAAAUGUACUUAACAUUUAUUUGUGAAAAUAAAGUUUAUUUUGUUUAUUUUGUUUAUUUUGUACAUAUCGCCAUUAUUAUAUAUAAUGAGGGGAGCGAGUUACAACUUUUUCAGAUUCAGAUCAUAUAAUGAAUUCGGCAAAUAUAAAUUUUGACUCUGUUUCGAUGUUAUCAAGAUUGCUUUGUAUGAAAAGAUUUGAAUAGAAAAACAGUAUAUAAGCAUUUUGUUUGUAUUAAAUAAUAUUAAAUAUUUAAUUGAUUGAGA